AGCGAACGCUGGCGGCAGGCUUAACACAUGCAAGUCGAACGGGCGUAGCAAUACGUCAGUGGCAGACGGGUGAGUAACGCGUGGGAACGUACCUUUUGGUUCGGAACAACACAGGGAAACUUGUGCUAAUACCGGAUAAGCCCUUACGGGGGAAAGAUUUAUCGCCGAAAGAUCGGCCCGCGUCUGAUUAGCUAGUUGGUGAGGUAACGGCUCACCAAGGCGACGAUCAGUAGCUGGUCUGAGAGGAUGAUCAGCCACAUUGGGACUGAGACACGGCCCAAACUCCUACGGGAGGCAGCAGUGGGGAAUAUUGGACAAUGGGCGCAAGCCUGAUCCAGCCAUGCCGCGUGAGUGAUGAAGGCCCUAGGGUUGUAAAGCUCUUUUGUGCGGGAAGAUAAUGACGGUACCGCAAGAAUAAGCCCCGGCUAACUUCGUG
This 436-nucleotide ribosomal RNA is filed under the name uncultured bacterium. RNAcentral describes it as "bacterial SSU rRNA". It matches the Rfam family "Bacterial small subunit ribosomal RNA", at positions 29 to 507 of the family's 1533-position model. The record is from RNAcentral.